This 805-nucleotide long non-coding RNA is filed under the name Malus domestica (apple). RNAcentral describes it as "long non-coding RNA (MDOM_LNC014268)". The record is from RNAcentral. Lineage: Eukaryota; Viridiplantae; Streptophyta; Magnoliopsida; Rosales; Rosaceae.
CCUUGUCAAUGCUUAUAGUUUUCAUGAAGCUUAAUGAUCUUUGAUUGUAUCUUUAUUGUGCUUUUCACGUAAGGGACUUUUAGAGAAUGUUUUGAGUUGUUGCAUGUGCAUUCCCAUCCAAUUCAAUAACUUAAGGAAGACUUGAAGGUUAAAAAAGUGCUAUCACAGUUAACCUAGGGCAUUGAGGUUCAUGGUUUAUUGAAAGAAGCAAUUGGAAAUCAACUUUGUAUGCAAGUGUAUCAUGUGUGUAGAAGAACCCUCUAGUUACCCCAUAUCUCAUCAAUUCACCUAAUUGUGUCUAAAAAUCUGUUUAAAUUGUUCUUGCUUUGUUUUACUUAUUUUCGUCCAAAAUCUACCCCACCUUAUUUCUUUGAGUCAUAUUAGUUAGAACUUGUCUUAGAUUAUGUUUUUAAGUGUUUUGAGCCAUUAGAAAACCAAAUUUCGUCCAAGUUUGUGUUAGAGUUCAAAACUGUCCAGAAAGUGUUUUUAAGGCAGUUUUAAGAGUUUUUGUGCUGUUUUGAGUCUUUUUGUUUGUUUAAGUGUUUUAGAGUUUAGUUUUGCAUUCUUUGAGUCUAGUUUAGUGUUUUAAACUUUGUUUUAUGUAUUUGAGUCAGUUUAGAGUGUUUAGCAAUCCCUCCUAAUCCCCGGUUUAAGAACGAUCCCUAUUUAUCCAUACUACAAUUGUCAACAAGAGGGUUAAUUUUUGUGUUUAGUUAUUUUACGCAUCACUAGGGAAUUGGACAAUAGGCGCAUGCUUAGCUAAAAAACUGGCCGCGAGUUUGUUCUGGGAAGCCUAGCCGAAGCU